This is a non-coding RNA of Picea glauca (white spruce), 63 nucleotides long. The record is from Rfam. Lineage: Eukaryota; Viridiplantae; Streptophyta; Pinopsida; Pinales; Pinaceae.
GGGUGCAAUCAUACCAACGUUAAUGCAUCAGAUCCCAUCAGAACUCCGCAAUUAAGCACGCUU